GACGAACGCUGGCGGCGUGCCUAAUACAUGCCAGUAGAACGCACAGUUUAUACCGUAGCUUGCUACACCAUACACUGUGAGUUGCGAACGGGUGAGUAACGCGUAGGUAACCUGCCUGGUAGCGGGGGAUAACUAUUGGAAACGAUAGCUAAUACCGCAUAAUAUUAAUUAUUGCAUGAUAAUUGAUUGAAAGAUGCAAUUGCAUCACUACCAGAUGGACCUGCGUUGUAUUAGCUAGUAGGUGAGGUAACGGCUCACCUAGGCGACGAUACAUAGCCGACCUGAGAGGGUGAUCGGCCACACUGGGACUGAGACACGGCCCAGACUCCUACGGGAGGCAGCAGUAGGGAAUCUUCGGCAAUGGACGAAAGUCUGACCGAGCAACGCCGCGUGAGUGAAGAAGGUUUUCGGAUCGUAAAGCUCUGUUGUAAGAGAAGAACGGGUGUGAGAGUGGAAAGUUCACACUGUGACGGUAUCUUACCAGAAAGGGACGGCUAACUACGUG
Molecule: ribosomal RNA, 505 nt
Filed under: uncultured bacterium
Lineage: Bacteria
Description: partial 16S ribosomal RNA
Rfam family: Bacterial small subunit ribosomal RNA
Source: RNAcentral